CUACCUAGUGACCGAUAGCGUAUAGUACCGUGAGGGAAAGGUGAAAAGAACCCCGUGAGGGGAGUGAAAUAGAACCUGAAACCCUGCACUUACAAGCUGUGGAAGCACAUUUCUUGUGUGACCGCGUACUUUUUGUAGAACGGGCCAACGAGUUACGUUAAGUAGCAAGGUUAAGCACUUAAGGUGUGGAGCCGUAGCGAAAGCGAGUUUUAACUGAGCGUUCAGUUACUUGACGUAGACCCGAAACCGGGCGACCUACCCAUGAGCAGGAUGAAGCGAAAGUAAAAUUUCGUGGAGGUCCGAACCCACGAGCGUUGAAAAGCUCGGGGAUGACUUGUGGGUAGCGGUGAAAUUCCAAUCGAGCCCGGAGAUAGCUGGUUCUCCCCGAAAUAGCUUUAGGGCUAGCCUCAAGGUGAGAGAUACGGAGGUAGAGCACUGAAUGUCCUAGGGGGUAUUGCACCUACCGAAGACUAUCAAACUCCGAAUGCCGUCAUCUUAUACUUGGGAGUCAGACUGUGGGUGAUAAGAUUCAUAGUCGAAAGGGCAACAGCCCAGAUCGUCAGCUAAGGUCCCUAAAUGUAAGUUAAGUGGUAAAGGAUGUGGGAUUGCACAGACAACCAGGAUGUUGGCUUAGAAGCAGCCACUCAUUCAAAGAGUGCGUAAUAGCUCACUGGUCGAGUGAUCCUGCGCCGAAGAUUUCCGGGGCUAAAACUUACUACCGAAGCUACGGCAUCAGUAAUGAUGGGUAGGGGAGCUUCCCAUACGGGUUGAAGCAUGACCGUAAGGACAUGUGGACAGUAUGGGAGUGAGAAUGUUGGCAUGAGUAGCGAGAUGUGGGUGAGAAUCCCACAGGCCGUAAACCCAAGGUUUCCAGGGGAAGGUUCGUCCGCCCUGGGUUAGUCGGGACCUAAGCUGAGGCCGAAAGGCGUAGGUGAUGGACAACAGGUUGAUAUUCCUGUACUACCGAUAACCGUUUGAGAGAAGGGAUGACACAGUAGGAUAAGCUAAGCACACUGUUGGUUAUGUGUGCCCAAGCAUUGAGGCAGUCAAAGUAGGCAAAUCCGCUUUGAUAAUGCUGGGAUGUGAUGGGGAGCGAAAUUUAGUAGCGAAGUAGCUGAUUUCACACUGUCAAGAAAAGUCUCUAUCGAGGUUAAAGGUACCCGUACCGCAAACCGACACAGGUGGGUGAGGAGAGUAUCCUAAGGCCAGCGAGAGAACUGUUGUUAAGGAACUCGGCAAAAUGACCCCGUAACUUAGGGAUAAGGGGUGCCACCAUCAGGUGGCCGCAGAGAAUAGGCCCAAGCGACUGUUUACCAAAAACAUAGGUUUCUGCUAAGUCGCAAGACGAUGUAUAGGAGCUGACGCCUGCCCGGUGCUGGAAGGUUAAGGGGAUCUGUUAGAGCAAUCGAAGCAGUGAACUUAAGCCCCAGUAAACGGCGGCCGUAACUAUAACGGUCCUAAGGUAGCGAAAUUCCUUGUCGGGUAAGUUCCGACCCGCACGAAAGGCGUAACGAUUUGGGCACUGUCUCAACAACAGACUCGGUGAAAUUGUAAUUCCGGUGAAGAUGCCGGAUACCUGCGACAGGACGGAAAGACCCCAUGGAGCUUUACUGUAGCUUGACAUUGGGUCUUGGUACUACAUGUACAGGAUAGGUGGGAGGCUUUGAAACCAGGACGCCAGUUUUGGCGGAGCCAUCCUUGGGAUACCACCCUUGUAGUACUGGGACUCUAACCAUAGGCCAUGAAUCUGGUCUUGGGACACUGUCAGGUGGGCAGUUUGACUGGGGCGGUCGCCUCCCAAAAGGUAACGGAGGCGCUCAAAGGUUCUCUCAGUACGGUCGGAAAUCGUACGUAGAGUGUAAAGGCAAAAGAGAGCUUGAUUGCAAGACAUACAGGUCGAGCAAGGAUGAAAAUCGGACUUAGUGAUCCGGUGGUUCUGCGUGGAAGGGCCAUCGCUCAACGGAUAAAAGCUACCCUGGGGAUAACAGGCUUAUCUCCCCCAAGAGUCCACAUCGACGGGGAGGUUUGGCACCUCGAUGUCGGCUCAUCACAUCCUGGGGCUGUAGUAGGUCCCAAGGGUUGGGCUGUUCGCCCAUUAAAGUGGUACGCGAGCUGGGUUCAGAACGUCGUGAGACAGUUCGGUCCCUAUCCGUCGCAGGCGUAGGAAAUUUGAGAAGACCUGUCCUUAGUACGAGAGGACCGGGAUGGACGUACCUCUGGUGUACCAGUUGUCCUGCCAAGGGCAUGGCUGGGUAGCUAUGUACGGAAUGGAUAAGCGCUGAAAGCAUCUAAGCGCGAAGCCAACUUCAAGAUAAGAUUUCCCACCGCAAGGGUAAGACCCCAGAAAGACUAUCUGGUUGA
This 2361-nucleotide ribosomal RNA is filed under the name Clostridioides difficile. RNAcentral's name for it is "bacterial LSU rRNA". It matches the Rfam family "Bacterial large subunit ribosomal RNA", at positions 473 to 2856 of the family's 2925-position model. Lineage: Bacteria; Bacillati; Bacillota; Clostridia; Peptostreptococcales; Peptostreptococcaceae. The record is from RNAcentral.